RNAcentral lists this transfer RNA (87 nucleotides) under Gracilibacteraceae bacterium. Its description in RNAcentral is "tRNA-Leu". It matches the Rfam family "tRNA". Rfam says of the family: Transfer RNA (tRNA) molecules are approximately 80 nucleotides in length. The record is from RNAcentral. Lineage: Bacteria; Bacillati; Bacillota; Clostridia; Eubacteriales; Gracilibacteraceae.
GCGGCUAUGGCGAAACUGGCAGACGCGAUAGAUUUAGGUUCUAUUGCCCGUGAGGGCGUGGAGGUUCAAGUCCUCUUGGCCGCACCA